AAUAGAUACCCCGGUAGUCCUGGCAGUAAACGGUGCAUACUUGGUGUGGGAAGAUUCGACCCUUCCUGUGCCGGAGCUAACGCGUUAAGUAUGCCGCCUGGAAAGUACGGUCGCAAGAUUAAAACUCAAAGAAAUUGACGGGGACCCGCACAAGCGGUGGAGUAUGUGGCUUAAUUCGGUGCAACGCGAAGAACCUUACCUGGUCUUGACAUGCACUGUGUCUCCCGUGAAAGCGGGAUAGGAUAGCAAUAUCCGCUUUGCACAGGUGCUGCAUGGCUGUCGUCAGCUCGUGUCGUGAGAUGUUGGGUUAAGUCCCGCAGCGAGCGCAACCCCUGUGGUUUGUUGCCACCCGGUUUACCGGAGCACUCGAACCAGACUGCCUCGAUCAACGAGGAGGAAGGUGGGGAUGACGUCAAGUCCGUAUGGCCCUUACGACCAGGGCUGCACACGUACUACAAUGCCCAGCACAAUGUGAACCGAAACCGCGAGGUGGAGGAAAUCAGCAAAACUGGGCUCAGUUCAGAUUGC
RNAcentral lists this ribosomal RNA (528 nucleotides) under uncultured bacterium. RNAcentral describes it as "bacterial SSU rRNA". It matches the Rfam family "Bacterial small subunit ribosomal RNA", at positions 777 to 1301 of the family's 1533-position model. The record is from RNAcentral.